Odocoileus virginianus texanus is the source of this 281-nucleotide non-coding RNA. The record is from RefSeq and is a predicted model, not a curated record. Lineage: Eukaryota; Metazoa; Chordata; Mammalia; Artiodactyla; Cervidae.
UCCUCUUUGAGCUGCCAUUCCAUCAGGGCAAGGUAGAAUGAACAUUAUGUCACAAAGACACCAUGUCAACAGUUCCCCAGGCUGAAAUGGGGGCCCCAUCACUCCUACGGGAGAUCCCCUUAAUCCUGCUUCAGGCUGCUGCUGUGUCUCAAACAUCUUAGCUCGGAGACAUGAUCAAGUUUUCAAAUAUGGAAAAUGCAUCUUAGAAAGUUUAGUGCUCACCCAGAAUCCUGCAGCUAUAUAUGGAGCACAAACCUCAUGGGUCUGACUCCAAAGCCUCG